CCAACACUAGGCAAAUAAACUAAGAGUUAUUUUCCUAGAGCAGCAGUUCUCAAACUGUGGUCCAUGGACUCCUGGGGGUCCCUAAGACUCUUUUAGCGGUGUCUGGAAAGUCAAAGUGGCUUUUGUAAUGAUAAUAAUGCUUUUUUCUGUGUUGGCACCUACAAUGAUGCAAAAGCAAUGGUGGGUAAAACUUCUGGCUUAUCAGCAAGAAUCAAGGCAGUGGCACCAAAAUAUAUUAGUUGUUAUAUUCUUCACCCCCACACAUUCCAGUUAAAAUAAAAAACGUGCAUGUCAACUUCAUUGAAGAAUGCUCACAAUUAUCACAGUAAAAAUUAUUUUUAUUAAACCUCAACUCUGAAAACACAUCCUCUUAAUACUCUGUAUGUCAAAAAGGGGAAAUAUAUAUAAAGCACUCUGCUUCGCAUCAAGGAUCACGGUUGUCUCAAGGAAAGAUACUUGUGUGAUUCAGCUGUCAGCUGAACAGGCCACUUUUUUCAUGGAACACCAUUUUUCUUGAAAGAACAGCUGAUAAACUAUAAUUAUUCAGACUUGGGUAUUAGACAGGCAUUUUCUCAAAAAUGAAUUUAGUGAGCCUGUUAUUUCAAGGAAACCAAAUGUCUUCAGUACUUGUUAUAAAUGACAAAAUUUGAGCUUUCAGCGAAAAUAGAAAUUUUGGAAAAUGUGUAGGCAUGUCCAAACUUUCAAGAAUCUCCCAAUACUUCUUUGAGAAGACAGGUUAGAUUAACAAAUAUGCUUUUUUGAUAUUUUGUAAUAAAAUGUCCCAAUGUUUCAAAGAUUUGUAUAAUUCAAUGAACUGGUAUUUUAUAAGCAAUCAAUGCACUAUGUUACA
Non-coding RNA from Callorhinus ursinus (northern fur seal), 850 nucleotides. Lineage: Eukaryota; Metazoa; Chordata; Mammalia; Carnivora; Otariidae. The record is from RefSeq and is a predicted model, not a curated record.